AGGAGGAGAUACAGUGAUUGUAAAAGAGCUCCAUUUUGGAACUCUUCAUUCAGAACACAGAACAGCACUUCUCUUAGUGAAAGGCUUUAGUUUGCCUCUCAAUUCUUCUGGUACUGUGGAUAUCCUGUCUGACUCUACCUGCCUCUAAUCUUCUGAUGUGGGAGUGGGUUCUCCACAACUCCUUCAUUUGAAACAGCACUUCCAAAUGCCUGGAAAUUGCAACUGAACACAUGCUCAUGGGAAUGACUUACAGCUUACAAGAAUGGAGGCCACAAGCUAUAGCUACAGUUACAGAAUACAUCAUUUGAAUUUCUGUGUGAAAUUCACGAAGUCCAACCAUUAAUAAAUAGCUUGCUUUUCUAUUUUCUUCCACAUACCUUCAGUGAGGUCACCCAUAUGGAGAUCAACAACAACUUUUCUUGUGCUGCUUUUCAUGUGGGAGAUGAGGACUAAAGCCCUGGAGAUCUACUUCAUCAGACUCCCAUCAGCCGUAACUGAAGAUGCCUGUACUUGGAGUCACUUAAGAACUAAGACACACAUUAGCCUAAACUGGUUUCAGUGCUGAGCUUACCCUGUCUGUGUAUAUAAUUCUAUAUCACUCUGCUUGACAUUCAUAAUGGAGGGCAUGGUCAAGACAUUUCUCAGUGAUAACUUUCUGCUCUUCUUUUGUCCCAUAUAAACUUGCCUUCAACGUACAACAACUACAUGAAGUUCAGACAUAGCCUAGCUUUCUAUCAAGAUUGCAGCUAAAUUGUCCUACAUGAGAUUUUGAAUUGUUUAGUCCCAUGUGAAGGUUCAGAUGUGGAUGUAUGCUAGUGUGUAGGAUGGCAUUGAUUUGUGGCUACUGAUUCUCCUGUACAUAAUAAAAAACUGAGAAAGCAUUGACAUAGGAAAGAGUUUAUGUCUGUAAACAGGUUUCUAUGAUGCUCCUUGUGAUUUCUC
Centrocercus urophasianus (Greater sage-grouse) is the source of this 942-nucleotide long non-coding RNA. RefSeq lists it as uncharacterized. The record is from RefSeq and is a predicted model, not a curated record. The transcript is spliced from 3 exons. NCBI's taxonomy places the organism in Eukaryota, Metazoa, Chordata, Aves, Galliformes, Phasianidae.